Non-coding RNA from Drosophila suzukii, 1842 nucleotides. NCBI's taxonomy places the organism in Eukaryota, Metazoa, Arthropoda, Insecta, Diptera, Drosophilidae. The record is from RefSeq and is a predicted model, not a curated record.
AUUAAGGUCUAUGCAAAUUUUUGCCAAUUCCCAUACACGACUUAAUAGAAAAAAUGAAAACAAAGACAUGGUUCCUACUUCAAGGGUUGAAAUAAUCUUUGACGGUGCAAGUUAUCUUUCUAUACACUAAAGUUAAGGUCGAACUAUUUGUUCCUUUUAGUCAAUGUUUCAGAUGUUUCAGAUUUGGUCAUUUUGUCCAACACUGCAAACAAAAUCAUGAAAUUAGUCGAGAUUGUUCCUUCUUGCAUUCAAGAGAGGAAAAAUAUGUCGUUUUAAAGUGCGCAAAUUGCAAACAGCCUCAUUCUGCCACAGAGCUUAAUUGUCCGGCUAGAAAGAGUGCUUUUGCUACACCCAGAUAAAAAAGAACGAAAAAAAUCAAGGACAUUUUAAAUGAAAUGCGAACAAUCCGUUCUCCAUUUUUAGUUCUCACAUUUCGAACGUUUGUCACGAAAGUCGAACGGUGUUGGUAACCAUUUCUACCGACGAACAACUUGGUUCCAAAUUGCGAAAAAUGUUCUCAGAUAUCGAACGCCGUUCAUGAAAAAGCUGCGAUAGACGCGUUAAAGUCUAUUGAAAUCGAUAAAUUAUCAACAUCGUUCAUAAAAACAUGUAUGUAGGUCUAGUGUCCCGAUUGUCCGCACUCGAAAAAUUCGCUCGGUGGUCCAGCUGCUAGAGCGUCCGCCUCCGACACAUGGUAGCACAGUUUCGAGUCCGCGAGAAGACCGUUGUGAAUUCAAAAUAUCCAAAAUACAUUGAAUUCUAGCAAUAACAAAACAUAAGGUGGGAAAUUAAAUAAAUCCCUACCAGGCGUCCACAAAGUCUAGCGUGUACACAAACCUCGUUUUUUUUUUAGAUUUUUAUGUUCUCAGGUUAAGCCCGAAAUGUUCUUAAGCUGACACCAUUCGUUCGGAACCCGACCCUAAAGUUUCGGUCACAUUUUACGAACGACCGUUCAUGAACUGUCAACAAACGGGCUCACGCACUUUUUGACAACGAUUGGUCUUGAUUUUUGAACGUUUCGAACGGAUUUUUUUCUGGGUGUAUACAAAAAUGCAUGACAGUCGGAAAAUCUUUCUGGAGUAGAAGUUAAAACCAAAUUCCCUGCCUUAUUUGAAAAGCAAUCCACUAACUCUUGCGAAAUUUUAAAUUCCUCGGAUUUCCCUCUACUACAGACCCAGAAAAAAUCUGCCAUACCUGUGAUGCAAAACAAUAGCACGGCUGCUGCAGAAAACAUUCACAAUUUUAUUCCCUACAAUAAAGUACACUCAGAGAAAAAACCAAGCACAUUGGGCUUCUUUAAAGCCCAAAUGGUCACAAAACUUCGACAGGUACGAAAUGGGCUUGUUUUUUCAUUUCAAGAACGUUUUGUUCUUAAACCGGUAUUCUUAAUUUGAGAACAUUUUCGGGCGAAAUUAAGUGUGUGUUCUACUUGAUUUAAGUAAGAAAUCUUCUUUAUUUAAGUAUAAAUACAACUUUAUUUUAGUAUGAAUUGUACUUUAAUUAAGUUUAAGAAUUCGCAAAUCAAGUAUGAAUUGUACUAAAAUGAAAUAUAAUUAAGUCCGUAAUAUAGCCAUAUUUAUUCUUAAAACAGGUCUAAAAUAUUCUUAAAUGAACCAUGGCCAAUGCUUAUAUCGAGAUGAUAUGCAGCUUGCAUCAAAAAUAUAUAAUUUUCACUUUAAGCUGGACUUAGUCUUCAGAAAAGAAUUAUUCAUACUACACUCAAGAACAGUAUGUACUCAUUUUAACUAUUAAAAUGCAUUAUCUUUAACAUAACUUGGUCUUAUAAUAAGAACAAAUCAUGCUCCAUUAAAGAGUUUACAAUUCCAUAUUCCAGCCGAAAAA